Molecule: ribosomal RNA, 492 nt
Filed under: uncultured bacterium
Lineage: Bacteria
Description: partial 16S ribosomal RNA
Rfam family: Bacterial small subunit ribosomal RNA
Source: RNAcentral
AGUGAACGCUGGCGGUAGGCCUAACACAUGCAAGUCGAACGGCAGCACAGUAAGAGCUUGCUCUUACGGGUGGCGAGUGGCGGACGGGUGAGGAAUACAUCGGAAUCUACUUUUUCGUGGGGGAUAACGUAGGGAAACUUACGCUAAUACCGCAUACGACCUACGGGUGAAAGCAGGGGAUCUUCGCACCUUGCGCGAUUGAAUGAGCCGCUGUCGGAUUAGCUAGUUGGCGGGGUAAAGGCCCACCAAGGCGACGAUCCGUAGCUGGUCUGAGAGGAUGAUCAGCCACACUGGAACUGAGACACGGUCCAGACUCCUACGGGAGGCACCAGUGGGGAAUAUUGGACAAUGGGCGCAAGCCUGAUCCAGCCAUACCGCGUGGGUGAAGAAGGCCUUCGGGUUGUAAAGCCCUUUUGUUGGGAAAGAAAAGCAGCAGGUUAAUACCCCGCUGUUCUGACGGUACCCAAAGAAUAAGCACCGGCUAACUUCGUG